ACUGAGAGACUUCCAAAGAGGAGUCCUUCUUCCUGGCAGCUCUUCUCCGGGGUAGAUAAGGAUCUUGAUGGCACUUUGGACUAUCAUAAAUGGUCUCCUUGUUAGAAACCUCUGGAAAGGCGGGGUGAGAUCAGAGUCUGACGGUGAAUCCUGUCUCUUCUCAGGACUCACAUUACUGGAGCCUGGGAAGGUCGUAUGACUGUCUCCUCAUUUUGAUAUUGUAAUUAUUGAAAUUAAGCCUUUUUGACUGAAUCAUGGACUGUUUUCUCAUUGCUUUUAAAAGUCUCUGAGUGAAAUUCCACAAGAGUCUGAUGCAUACUAUGUUUAUGGUAUGCAAAAUGUGUGUCAUUAAGAGUAAAAACCUACACAAAUUAUUAUUGAUGUUACAUUUUAAUGCCAAUAUUGGCCAAUAAUAAUAGUAGGCUGAUGAAACUGGGAAUCUCUAGUUUUAAUUUAGUACUUCAGUUGAUGGUGAAAUACUCCAUCAGUCAUUUCCUUGGUGUCUUUUCCUGUCUUUGCUGUACAUCUUUCAUCUUUAAUUUGCUCAUUUUCCACAAUGUUAAAAUACAAAAUCAUAUUACUUUCAGUCACAUUUAUUCAUAGUUUGCUGUUGAACUGAGAGUUCCGCUGAAGACCAGCAUGCUGAAAUAUCAUCAUGGCUUUCUUUGCUGUGCAGAAGAGUUCAUUCAACAUUGACCUUUAAUGCACAAACGGAUAUUUAAGUAAAAACAUUUUGGUUGUAUUUUAUUACCUUUGGAUCUUGUUGAGAUCUCCAUGCUUUCUGCUGCAGCCUGGUUCUCCGUGUUUUCCUCCUCUGGUACGCUGACACGCAGAGAGAACUGUUAGUGGUGUGUUGCUGACAUGUGAAGGACAAUGAAAGAUUGAACUAAUCUGUUCUUGGUUUUGCUGCUUUUCAUUAAUACAUGAAAAAGUAAAGAAAAUGCACAAUGUUGUAAAAAGGGCAGUAUUCUUAAUGCAUUGAAAAAAAUUUGAAGAAUAGCAGGAGGAUGAGCAGUAUUUGAUGGUCAACUUAAUUUCUUGCAAAAGUGUGCUUGAUCGCUUACAAUAAGGACAAAUUCUGGGUCUGCAACAAUGCAGAAAAACUGCAGGAUUUAGAGUCUUAUUUCCUGGUUUGCAGAAAUCUCACCUCUGAUUGGUUAACAGCAAUGUGACUCUACCACUGACUUUUUUUGCUCUGCAAUGUUGAUGUUUUAUCGCCACAAAUAACACAAGCCUGAAGGAGUUCUGGUGUGUGGUGGAGUAGCUAAUGCUAGCGGUUAGCUUCUACUAGCCGAGACGUGUUCAGCUGUUUCCUGGAUGCUAAACCAACAACAGCCUUCCUCGUCGUGAGCAAAGAUGGGAAAUAGGGGGUAGAAGACGUUCGGUCUGCAUGUGAAACUCAGAGUGACUGAUCAUAUUUUUGAAAUAACAACCUUGACAGAUGAUGACAUCCUGGAUCUAAAGGCAGUGGAGCCAGAAGCUGCAGUCCAGACAAGCAUGGACAACAGUGACACAGAUACAGCUUCAUCAGACACGGAUACAGGGGAACAAACUGGCUUUCCAGAGCCCUUGACUGCUUUAUUUGACACUACACUCAGGGAGCUCUCACCACAGGAAUUAAAUGUAAAGUGUGAAGAAACAUUUCAAAGACUAAAAACUACAACACAGCAUCAUCAACUAGAAAAACUACAAUGGGUAACAAGGCAGCAGUCAAAGUCACAUGACUGGCAUGUCCAUAGGGCUGGUAGGAUCACAAGUACAAAAUUUCACCAUGUGGCCACAACAGACAAGCUCAGCAAAAAUUACAUAAUGAACAUAAUGCAGUACAAUAAGACCACAUUAAAUGUCCCAUCUGUUAUCUGGGGUGAAAAUAUGGAGCAAACCGCUAGACAACAGUAUAGUGAUUUCAUGUCAAAAAAAUCACCAACGACUCCUGGUCAGCACCUGUGGUUCAGUUGUUCAGCCAUCUGAGCCAUACCUUGAGCAAGACGUUUCAUCCCUUCUCCUUUUCCGUUGAUACCUUAAUGUAACAGGUCUAAAUUACUUAACAGUUACACAAGUCAAGAACCAAGAUAUAAUAACACUGAACAUCAUGAAUAGCAAGAAUUUCUAAAUAUUAAAUAUAUCUGUGAUGGGAAGGUGUAAACAAUACCUGUCCAUCUUUGCGUGGGGGUUUGGACUUCGCUUUGUGUACGUAAACACAGAAGGCACAAAAUCAGGACUCGAGGAGUCCAAUGACACCUCGCCUGUAAAUAAAUAGACUGCUUAAAAGCAAACCAGCAAACGCAACUUACUUUAUUUAAUAGAACACACGUUAACCAGCUUUCUGGUGUAAUCUUAGUACAUAAUUACCUUACCUGAUAUAAAAUGGGCGCUACAAACUCGAGCAUUUCGGAUCGUGUUUUCAGUCCAGUUUUCAUCAACCCUUUUGAUGGCCUGCAGCCACAGACGCCUCCGAUUUUGUUGAAAUGGAUGUGCUCCCUUCGGAAUUCUGUAAAGUUUCAGUCCACUGCUUGAAGAGAAGCGAUUCUGGCAUCCAUACACGCAACAACCCGACAUUUUUAUGUGCUCGUAACUUCAAAACAAAGGGUUUAAAACGCUGUUUUAGUAUCGAAUGUGAAUAAGGAAGCCUUCACUCUCGUUGCCAGGCUGCGCGCGCAACUUUUGAUGACGUAGGUAGUAAAAGGGUCUAUUCCCUCUGCAGCAAACGGCACAGUCGUAACAGCCAGGAAAUGUGAGCGUGAGGGAGUAUGACGUCAGCCAACAGGAAGUCCUUUAGCUGUGUGAAUCUCAGUUAUAACAGGGUUAUUUAUUUUAUAACCCAAGGAUACAACUGAAACUCUAAUAUAAAUAGAUAACACUUGGUAAACCAUGGAUGCUGUGGUGUUUAAACGUUUUCAUUGCCUCUCGGCUGUUAGAUUUAAGGUGAGCAGUGCACUUGUUGUUUUGCAGAAAACCAGAACUCUCCUCUGCAGCCACGUAAAAUGUGAAAUGGAGUAGCAGCAGCCAUAAUGGUGUCUUAAGUUUGGGAGUGUGACAUCUCAACUCUCUGUGAAAGAACUGGAAUUUCAUCAAUUCUCAGACACAUCAGACUACACCGGUCUCUGUUUUCCAUUAAGCUGAACAUACACACACUAAACAUUUGCACUGUAUUUCUGGCCCCAGAGCACCUGACGACAAUAUUUAAGUGAAAUCGGCAGUAGGAGUGUAUAACUCCUCAGUUUAACUGGUACUGGCAUGAUCCUGUUAAACAUUAAUAUCAGUGCAAUAUUCAGUAUGCAUUUAAUACUUGUGCCAUACCUGAUGUACAUCAGCAUGUCUGUGUCCCUUAUGCUGCAUAGUUGUGGAAACACGUUUCCUUUUUAUUCAUUAUUUUUAGUGGUUGAAGGUUACAAUAAUAGCUUAUUGCCUUUGUGUGUUUACCUGUCAUCGUUAUUAUUUUUCUUCCUCCUUUUCUCUAAGCGUAUUUGCUGCUAGAGCGAGUGAAUGUCCCCACUGUGGGGUUAAUAAAGUCUAUUCUAUUCUGCUCUAUUUUUCUAUUCUAUCAAUCUGUCAGUCAGGCUUCAGCCUAUGCCAGAGUGAAUUGUAGGGAGCCUGAAAAAUAAACACCAUUGCUAAAAAUAUUGUCUCUUUGCACCAGCAUAACGUAAUUAUCAAUAAACACCUUUAAAGAUUA
Nothobranchius furzeri (turquoise killifish) is the source of this 3676-nucleotide long non-coding RNA. RefSeq lists it as uncharacterized. The record is from RefSeq and is a predicted model, not a curated record. Lineage: Eukaryota; Metazoa; Chordata; Actinopteri; Cyprinodontiformes; Nothobranchiidae.